CUGCUGCCUUCCGUAGGAGUCUGGUCCGUGUCUCAGUACCAGUGUGGGGGACCUUCCUCUCAGAACCCCUAGACAUCGUCGCCUUGGUGGGCCGUUACCCCGCCAACAAGCUAAUGUCACGCAUGCCCAUCCGUCUCCGGAGUCGCCUCCUUUGGCCGAAAGAAGAUGCCUCCCCUCGGCCACAUGCGGUAUUAGGCCGGAUUUCUCCGGGUUAUCCCGCUGAAACGGGCAGGUUGCAUACGCGUUACUCACCCGUGCGCCGGUCG
Molecule: ribosomal RNA, 266 nt
Filed under: uncultured bacterium
Lineage: Bacteria
Description: partial 16S ribosomal RNA
Source: RNAcentral